Molecule: ribosomal RNA, 252 nt
Filed under: uncultured bacterium
Lineage: Bacteria
Description: partial 16S ribosomal RNA
Rfam family: Bacterial small subunit ribosomal RNA
Source: RNAcentral
ACGUAGGGCGCGAGCGUUGUCCGGAUUUAUUGGGCGUAAAGAGCUCGUAGGCGGCUCGUUGCGUCGGCUGUGAAAACCCGCAGCUCAACUGUGGGCUUGCAGCUGAUACGGGCGGGCUGGGAUUUGGUAGGGGAGACUGGAAUUCCUGGUGUAGCGGUGAAAUGCGCAGAUAUCAGGAGGAACACCGGUGGCGAAGACGGGUCUCUGGGCCGAUAUCGACGCUGAGGAGCGAAAGCGUGGGGAGCGAACAGG